Molecule: long non-coding RNA, 215 nt
Organism: Plectropomus leopardus (leopard coralgrouper)
Lineage: Eukaryota; Metazoa; Chordata; Actinopteri; Perciformes; Serranidae
Source: RefSeq, a predicted model, not a curated record
GCGGCCUCCCCAGCCAGGCAUUUGAGUACGUCAAAUACAACAACGGUCUUAUGACAGAGGAGGACUAUCCCUACAAAGGCCAUGAUGACACUUGCCAUUUUGAGCCUGCGCUAGCAGCUGCUUUCGUCCUGGAUGUUGUCAAUAUAACAAGUUAUGAUGAAAAGGCCAUGGUUGAUGCUGUGGCUCGGCUCAACCCUGUGUCCUUUGGUUUUGAG